AACGAACGCUGGCGGCGCGCCUAAUACAUGCAAGUCGAGCGAGAAAGACGUAGCAAUACGUUUGUAAAGCGGCGAACGGGUGAGGAAUACAUGGGUAACCUACCCUCGAGUGGGAAUAACUAGCCGAAAGGUUAGCUAAUACCGCGUACGCUCCUUGGACUUCGGUUCAGGGAGGAAAGCGAUACCGUGGGUAUCGCGCUCUUGGAUGGGCUCAUGUCCUAUCAGCUUGUUGGUGAGGUAACGGCUCACCAAGGCUUCGACGGGUAGCUGGUCUGAGAGGACGAUCAGCCACACUGGCACUGCGACACGGGCCAGACUCCUACGGGAGGCAGCAGUAAGGAAUAUUGCGCAAUGGGCGAAAGCCUGACGCAGCGACGCCGCGU
RNAcentral lists this ribosomal RNA (383 nucleotides) under uncultured bacterium. RNAcentral describes it as "bacterial SSU rRNA". It matches the Rfam family "Bacterial small subunit ribosomal RNA", at positions 29 to 402 of the family's 1533-position model. The record is from RNAcentral.